RNAcentral lists this ribosomal RNA (301 nucleotides) under uncultured bacterium. RNAcentral describes it as "partial 16S ribosomal RNA". It matches the Rfam family "Bacterial small subunit ribosomal RNA", at positions 509 to 807 of the family's 1533-position model. The record is from RNAcentral.
CAGCAGCCGCGGGAAUACGAGGGGGGCAAGCGUUGUUCGGAAUUAUUGGGCGUAAAGGGCGCGUAGGCGGUUUGACAAGUCUGAUGUGAAAUCUCUGGGCUCAACCCAGAGUCUGCAUCGGAAACUGUCGAGCUUGAGUAUGGGAGAGGUGAGUGGAAUUUCCGGUGUAGCGGUGAAAUGCGUAGAUAUCGGAAGGAACACCUGUGGCGAAAGCGGCUCACUGGACCAUUACUGACGCUGAGGCGCGAAAGCUAGGGGGGCAAACAGGAUUAGAUACCCCAGUAGUCCCUGUCUCUUAUAC